Molecule: ribosomal RNA, 270 nt
Filed under: uncultured bacterium
Lineage: Bacteria
Description: partial 16S ribosomal RNA
Rfam family: Bacterial small subunit ribosomal RNA
Source: RNAcentral
GACGAACGCUGGCGGCGUGCCUAACACAUGUAAGUCGAACGGGACUGGGGGCAACUCCAGUUCAGUGGCAGACGGGUGCGUAACACGUGAGCAACUUGUCCGACGGCGGGGGAUAGCCGGCCCAACGGCCGGGUAAUACCGCGUACGCUCGUUUAGGGACAUCCCUGAAUGAGGAAAGCCGUAAGGCACCGACGGAGAGGCUCGCGGCCUAUCAGCUAGUUGGCGGGGUAACGGCCCACCAAGGCGACGACGGGUAGCUGGUCUGAGAGG